UCGUCCGGGCACCGGCACGGCCCGCUGCAGUUCUGGCCGACGGCCGGCUGCAGGGAGGACAGGGCGGUCAGCGGCGCUCGGUCGGCGCGCACGCCCUCCCCGGCCGGCCCCGAGUCCCUCCCUGGCAGCCGCCGGCCGCAGCGGGGGCUCCCGGCGCUUACCCGGCUGCAGAGGGCGAGGAGGACCACGAAGGCGACGCGGACGGGGCCCAUACUGGCGGCGGUCAUGGUUGGCACUGCGGGCGGAGCGGAGGGCGCGGUGGCGGCGAGCGGGGAGCGGCGGGGCCUGGAGCGCUGGCGGUGGUCGGAGGUAUUUCCUAUAUCUUCCUGUCUUUUCCAUGGCCAAAAAUGAUCAAGUAAAGAACAUUAAAGAAGAAAUAAAUUACUACAUAUUAAAAAAUACAUACUGUAAGAUGUUCUUUGUACAAAAAUGUGACAACUUCAAUAAGAGUAACUUGGACAACCUGAGGCAUUAAUUGAGGAUCAAUAUGAUGACUUUACAUUGAGAAUCACAUAUACCCUCUGAAUAAAUUUAAAAAAUGAAAUUUUUUAAUUUUCAUUAAAAAUUAAAUUUUUUUGAGUGAUGAAAAUACUCAAUCACAUUAUUUUCAAAUUGUUGAUAAGCAUGGAAAUUAUCAGAGAACCAGAAUAUUCAAGGUUUAUCUUUCCUGUUUUUGUCUUAAAUCACAACUAUGUGUUAAAUAAUUUGUAUGACCUAUUUCAGUGGCAGUAGGUUAAAUAAAAUUCUGUUUGUAUCUCC
Molecule: long non-coding RNA, 759 nt
Filed under: Homo sapiens (human)
Lineage: Eukaryota; Metazoa; Chordata; Mammalia; Primates; Hominidae
Description: long intergenic non-protein coding RNA 1013
Source: RNAcentral